This 2624-nucleotide ribosomal RNA is filed under the name Rickettsia endosymbiont of Ixodes persulcatus. RNAcentral's name for it is "23S ribosomal RNA". It matches the Rfam family "Bacterial large subunit ribosomal RNA". The record is from RNAcentral. Lineage: Bacteria; Pseudomonadati; Pseudomonadota; Alphaproteobacteria; Rickettsiales; Rickettsiaceae.
GUGUAAGUAAUCAAAGUGAUUGUUAGGGAUGCCUAGCAAACAUUCAUUGAAAGGAGGUGGCAACACCAAAAGCUAUGACAGAAGAUAUCCAUAGCGAUCCUAAGGGAAACCAAAUAUAGAAUACGCAGUGAACUGAAACAUCUAAGUAACUGUAGGAAAGGAAAUCAACCGAGACUCCAGAAGUAGUGGCGAGCGAACCUGGAUUAGCCUAUUAGAUAAUAGCAUAACAGAAUACCUUGGAAUAGGUACUCCGAAGAAGGUAAUAGCCCUGUAUGUUAUGUAUUAUACUAUUCAACAAGUAUUAUGGGAGAUAACCUGUAAGAAGAUUGGGGAACCAUCCUCAAAGGCUAAGUAUGAAUGUUUAGCGAUAGUGAAGAGUACCGUGAGGGAAAGGUGAAAAGAGAGUCGAUGACUAGUGAAAUAGAACCUGAAUUAGCAAUCAUAUAAGCAAUUAGAGUUUAUUCAAUGAGAAUAGAUGAUAAUGUACCUUUUGUAUAAUGGGUCAGCGAGUUUAUGGAAUUAGCAAGGCGUAUAACCCUAGCGAAAGCGACUGAGUAGAAAUUCUACUGUGGGACAUAGUUAAUUUCAUAAGACCCGAAACGUGGUGAUCUAUCCUUGGCCAGGCUAGUAAAUAGGCCGAAUGGUUCAAUGUUGCAGUAUUGUCCAAUGAGCUGAGGAUUGUAGGUGAAAGGCCAAUCUGACCACGAGAUAGCUGGUAUGCAAUGAAACAUAUAUAGGUAUGACUCUCUAGUUAGAUUUACGCGGGUACAGCACUGAUUGCCAUACUUAAGUCUAAAUUAAGACUUAGGUUCAAUUGGGGGGCCGAGAGGCUUUACCAUUGGUAGUUAACCUCGGAAUAACGUAAAUUGGUACAGAGAUUUCAGACUGCUCAUGAUAAGGUGGGUAGUCGAGACGGAAACAGCCGUGAGCAUAGAAUAAGGUCCCAAAAUAGUGGUUAAGUGAAAAUAAGGAAGUUAUAAUCCUCACACAACUAUAAAGUGUGCUUGGUAGUGGCAAUCUUUUAAUGAAAGUGUAACAACUUAGUAGUCUAAUGGAUUGUAGCGCCGAAGAUUAACGGGUCUUAGACCACUUACCGAUACUAUGCCUUCUAAUUCCUAUCAUAGAAUUAGACUGGGUAAUUGCACAUUCGACAUGGUUGAAGUAAAGUGUUUCAUUUUAUGGACAUAGUCGAAGAGAUAAUGCUGACAUGAGUAACGUAGAAGGAAGCUAUAAUGCUUCCCGCCGAAUGAGAAAGGGUUCCAUAGAAAUGUUCGACAGCUAUGGGUUAAUACGGCCUCUAAAGUCUUUGGCUAAUGCUUGAGACCGAUGAGUAAAUCGCAGAAAGUCCAGUGAAACUGGGCCAAGAAAAUAAUGUGGUAGCAAACCGUACCCUAAACCGACACAGGUUCUCAGGUAGAGAAUACUAAGGCGAUGAGAUAAUACUAUAUAAGGAACUCGGCAAACUACAUCCGUACACUCGAUAAUAAGGAUGACCAAUGGUUACGAUCAUUGGUGGCACACAAUCGAGAGGCAUAACUGUUUACCAAAAACACAGGCAUCUGCUAUAUCACACGAUGUUGUAUAGGUGCUGAAUCUUGUCCGAUGUCAUGAGUAUAACAUAGGUGCGACUAUCGACACUUAUGGAACCUCUGAUCAAUGACAGUCUUAACUAUAAGGAUUCUAAGGUAGCGAAAUUCCUUGGCCGUUAAAUGCGGUCCUGCAUGAAUAGAGUAAUAAUGCCUCUGCUGUCUCAUAUAGUAUCUCAGUGAAAUUGAAUUAGCCGUGAAGAUGCGGUUUACGUGUGGGUAGACGGGAAGACCCUAUGCAGCUUUACUAUAGCCAGUUAUCGUUCUGGGUUGAGUUAGGUGUAGAGUAGAAGGGAGUCGUUAGACGUCAAUGAAACACCUUUACUAACAUCAAAUUGGAACUUAUCUUAAUAGGAGAAAAUGACUGGUGGGUAGUUUAACUGGGACGGUUUCCUCCAAUAGAGUAUCGGAGGACUUCAAAGGUAUGCUUGUAUUAGAUGGAAACUAAUUUGCUAUGUAAAGCGAAAGUAAGUGUAAAGGCAUAAGCAUGCUUAACUGCAAGACUGACAAGUCAAGCAGAUACGUAAGUAGGACUUAGUGAUCCGGUGGUAUUUAAUGGAAAAGCCAUCGCUCAAGGAAUAAAAGUUACGCUAGGGAUAACAGGGUAAUAGCGCGCGAGAGUUCACAUUGUCCGCGCUGUUUGCCACCUCGAUGUCGACUCACCUUAUCCUCCUGGUGCACAAGCUGGGAAGGGUUCUGCUGUUCGCAGAUUAAAAAGGUACGCGAGUUGGGUUCAAUACGAUGAGAGUCAGUAUGGUUCCUAUCUUCCACACGAAAGAAUUAUCAAAGCUGGGCGGAUCUUUAGUACGAAAGGACUUAGAUCUAUGCUCCUAUGGUGUACCAAUUGUUGGCAUAAAAGCUGGCAUCGUUGGGUAGCUACGAGCACAAAAGAUAAACACUGAAAGCAUAUAAGUGAUUGAAGCUUGCCAGUAGCGAUUAUAAUAGGCAAGAGGUAGACUACCUCUAGAUAGGUCACAUGUGUAAGCACCGUAAGGUGUGUUAGCUUAGUGAUACUAAUUAGCCAUAUUACUUACACCU